CGGUAAUACAGAGGGUGCAAGCGUUAAUCGGAAUUACUGGGCGUAAAGCGAGCGUAGGUGGCUUGAUAAGUCAGAUGUGAAAUCCCCGGGCUUAACCUGGGAACUGCAUCUGAAACUGUUAGGCUAGAGUAGGUGAGAGGGAAGUAGAAUUUCAGGUGUAGCGGUGAAAUGCGUAGAGAUCUGAAGGAAUACCGAUGGCGAAGGCAGCUUCCUGGCAUCAUACUGACACUGAGGCUCGAAAGCGUGGGUAGCAAACAGGAUUAGAUACCCUGGUAGUCCACGCCGUAAACGAUGUCUACUAGUCGUUGGGUCCCUUGAGGACUUAGUGACGCAGCUAACGCAAUAAGUAGACCGCCUGGGGAGUACGGCCGCAAGGUUAAAACUCAAAUGAAUUGACGGGGGCCCGCACAAGCAGUGGAGCAUGUGGUUUAAUUCGAUGCAACGCGAAGAACCUUACCUGGUCUUGACAUACACAGAAUCUUGUAGAGAUACGAGAGUGCCUUCGGGAAUUGUGAUACAGGUGCUGCAUGGCUGUCGUCAGCUCGUGUCGUGAGAUGUUGGGUUAAGUCCCGCAACGAGCGCAACCCUUGUCCUUAGUUACCAGCACUUCGGGUGGGAACUCUAAGGAUACUGCCAGUGACAAACUGGAGGAAGGCGGGGACGACGUCAAGUCAUCAUGGCCCUUACGACCAGGGCUACACACGUGCUACAAUGGUAGGUACAGAGGGCAGCUACACAGCGAUGUGAUGCGAAUCUCAAAAAGCCUAUCGUAGUCCAGAUUGGAGUCUGCAACUCGACUCCAUGAAGUAGGAAUCGCUAGUAAUCGCGGAUCAGAAUGCCGCGGUGAAUACGUUCCCGGG
Molecule: ribosomal RNA, 860 nt
Filed under: uncultured bacterium
Lineage: Bacteria
Description: bacterial SSU rRNA
Rfam family: Bacterial small subunit ribosomal RNA
Source: RNAcentral